ACUAGGUAGUGUUGAAGAUUGAACAAUUGAAUAUCUUCAAGGCUUCUUUGACUUGGUUUUCUUCAGAUGUCGAGAUUGGUUUAGUGUAAACCAAUCCGAGAAUUGCCUCCUUCAAUUGUCUUGUCUUUGAUCUGGUUAUUGGCCCAUUGGAGAAAGAGAAUGGGUCUCGUGCUGAGUUAAAUCCAAUUGAACUCCCAUCCAGCUCCUUGUAUCCAAUUGUAGUGUUCGUCUCAUCCAGCUCCUCUUCACUGUCACUCUCUUCCAGCUCUUCAUGCGCAAGAUCAGCUACUGGUUCAGUCAAGCUCACAUCA
This 311-nucleotide long non-coding RNA is filed under the name Brassica napus (rape). RNAcentral's name for it is "long non-coding RNA (BNAP_LNC015233)". The record is from RNAcentral. Lineage: Eukaryota; Viridiplantae; Streptophyta; Magnoliopsida; Brassicales; Brassicaceae.